Molecule: long non-coding RNA, 1058 nt
Organism: Nannospalax galili (Upper Galilee mountains blind mole rat)
Lineage: Eukaryota; Metazoa; Chordata; Mammalia; Rodentia; Spalacidae
Exons: 3
Source: RefSeq, a predicted model, not a curated record
ACUUUCUUCUCUCAGGGAGAAAAGGAGUUUGUAGAAGCCCCCAGAAUGUGGCCAGGCUGAUUGAUAAAGGAUUCCUUAUCACAAGACCAAUGCUUCUCUCUGCCUUGAUCAGCGAAGCCUCUUUCCAGUGAACAGUUGUGAAUACAGAGAUUCAUGGCUGCAAAAUUGCUGAGAACAAAUAAUGGAAGAAGCAGGGGAAGAAUGCAAGAACCCAAAGGUAAAUAAAGCUGACUAAGCCAAAUGGGAGAAGACUCACAAAAGUAAAAUCACAAGUGAAAGAAGAGUUGCUACAAUUGAUGCCACAAAAUAAAGAGGAACAUAAGAGACAACUAUGGAAAAGAGACCUGAUAACAGUCAGCACUAAGUAGACUUGGGGUUUUAAAGGGGACACGGGGAGAAUGAAUGAAGCUGGAAUGAAAAAGUGGUGGGGGAUGGGGAGAAAUUGGAGGGGAGGAAAUAGGGGAUAGUUUGAUCAAAACACAUACACCUAUGGAAUUCUCAAUUAAAAAUAAAAGAAGUUUAAAAAAGGCAUUCUCAAUUCCCUUCAUUUAGUUGUCAAGUCAUGCUCCAGUUUACAUACUAGGAAGUUCUGAACAUCUGCUCUGUGUAGGUGUGUUAGGUGCUGGCAAGAUAAAGACCAAUAAAACACAGCUCUUGACUUUCACAAACAUGUCCAACAGGAUGAAAAGACACAGCUUGAUAAUUUCAACACACUGUGUAAAUUGUAAAAAUUUCCCCUCCUCUCUUUUCCCAACAAUGUACACUGCCUAUUUCAGGUUAAAACACAUCAUUCCUAAGGUGCUAGGGUUGUAACCCUUCAAUAUUAUACAGAUGAACAAUACAGUGGAUCAAUGAGUUGACUACCACAUUCAAGCCUAGUAAUACUGCUUGAACAGUCCGCUUCUCUAAACUCCAACUAGAGUCCUACUGCUCCAGCUGUCUACUUUAUGACCUCCAACAGGAAUAGACUCCCCCCUGUUCUGUUGUCAGCUGUUUGGCAUCUGAACAAGCCCUCUAUCAGGAAUAACCCUGAGCUACUCCUGGCUUAUGGAACUGAG